Long non-coding RNA from Perca fluviatilis (European perch), 210 nucleotides. RefSeq lists it as uncharacterized. The record is from RefSeq and is a predicted model, not a curated record. NCBI's taxonomy places the organism in Eukaryota, Metazoa, Chordata, Actinopteri, Perciformes, Percidae. The transcript is spliced from 3 exons.
GCCGGAAACAACAAGAGCUACGAAUGCCAUAUUAUAACACUACUCGAACUCGCAAGACAACAUGGGAGCCACUGUCUUGUCCUUGUCUGGAGCACGGUGUGAUGCUGAGGAAAGAACAGGCGCUCCUUGACUGAGUCUCAGCGGUGAUCCAAAAUGAAAUCCUGCGGUAUUUAGCGGACCGUUUUACUGCUUGGUUGGAGGUGGAGAGGU